RNAcentral lists this ribosomal RNA (468 nucleotides) under uncultured bacterium. Its description in RNAcentral is "partial 16S ribosomal RNA". It matches the Rfam family "Bacterial small subunit ribosomal RNA", at positions 28 to 507 of the family's 1533-position model. The record is from RNAcentral.
GACGAACGCUGGCGGCGUGCUUAACACAUGCAAGUCGAACGGAAAGGCCCUGCUCUUGUGGGGUGCUCGAGUGGCGAACGGGUGAGUAACACGUGAGUAACCUGCCCUUGACUUUGGGAUAACUUCAGGAAACUGGGGCUAAUACCGGAAAGGAGCUCCUGCUGCAUGGUGGGGGUUGGAAAGUUUCGGCGGUUGGGGAUGGACUCGCGGCUUAUCAGCUUGUUGGUGGGGUAGUGGCUUACCAAGGCUUUGACGGGUAGCCGGCCUGAGAGGGUGACCGGCCACAUUGGGACUGAGAUACGGCCCAGACUCCUACGGGAGGCAGCAGUGGGGAAUAUUGCACAAUGGGCGGAAGCCUGAUGCAGCAACGCCGCGUGCGGGAUGACGGCCUUCGGGUUGUAAACCGCUUUCGCCUGUGACGAAGCGUGAGUGACGGUAAUGGGUAAAGAAGCACCGGCUAACUACGUG